This 389-nucleotide ribosomal RNA is filed under the name Apiomorpha munita tereticornuta. RNAcentral describes it as "bacterial SSU rRNA". It matches the Rfam family "Eukaryotic small subunit ribosomal RNA", at positions 223 to 548 of the family's 1831-position model. Lineage: Eukaryota; Metazoa; Arthropoda; Insecta; Hemiptera; Eriococcidae. The record is from RNAcentral.
CCGUAAGUGGCCCGCGCAAAGACUUGACGACUCUGAAUAAUUUCUAGCUGAUCGCACGGUCGAUACCAUUGCUAAACGCGUGUACGCACACGCGUAUAUAGUGUGUAUAAAACACAGCGCCGGCGACGUAUCUUUCAAAUGUCUGCCUUAUCAACUGUCGACGGUAGGUUCGACGCCUACCGUGGUGGUAACGGGUAACGGGGAAUCAGGGUUCGAUUCCGGAGAGGGAGCCUGAGAAACGGCUACCACAUCCAAGGAAGGCAGCAGGCGCGCAAAUUACCCACUCCCAGCUCGGGGAGGUAGUGACGAAAAAUAACGAUACGGGACUCAUCCGAGGCCCCGUAAUCGGAAUGAGUACACUUUAAAACCUUGGUCGCACGAGGAUCAAU